RNAcentral lists this long non-coding RNA (824 nucleotides) under Nicotiana benthamiana. RNAcentral's name for it is "long non-coding RNA (NBEN_LNC023554)". The record is from RNAcentral. Lineage: Eukaryota; Viridiplantae; Streptophyta; Magnoliopsida; Solanales; Solanaceae.
GGACCUUUCAUCGAAGCAUAAUGUUCGUAUUUGGCCAACAUAAUUGUUCCAUGAUGUGCUAUUCAAGCUCCCUUGAUUGGGUUUAAAGGUGUGUGUUUUUCUAUGUUGUUGAUGUUAACAAGAAACAUCUUGAACUAGAAAUAUAAAGUGCUUGUGCAGAAAUGCUCCAAAAGUUGACAUGUCAAAAACAUAGACGAGAAGGAACAAGCAUGACAAUAAGCAGCAUCAGACCUUGUUGAGGUUGCCUUAGCGAUGAGGAAAUAAUCAGCUAGAGUGACACAAAUCGUUACAAGUCAUAUCACUCAAUUAACCAUGCCAGGUAAAGGUGAGUAUUCUAUUAUGAGGUAAAAGGGUGUGAAGCAUACUUUGACGGACGUUAAAAGCUUCGUAUAACUUGAAAAAUCAUUUGUUCAUUCAUCUGUACAAGGUUAGAGACCUUAGGUACUAACUUUCAUACUUAUAAUGAGCAAUCUUUGAUAGAUUAAAACUUGAUUAGCCGUUAUAUGGUAAACCAUAGUAUGGGAAGAGUUUCAUAGUAGAAUCAAAGGAAUAAUUGCAAUGCUGGUAUGGCACAAGAUGAUGCUCUACAGCUCUAAUAUGGUGUAGAGACCUAGCACAAAAUUAUUAUGCCUGCAUGAGGGUCACAAAAUAUGUUUAACCUAAGGAAGCAAAACAAGCACCGGGACUAAGUAGAGUUAAUCCUACAUGGAUCAACAAGCCAAUAUCAAAGAAGGAACAGCUUUAUCGUUUAUGAGGUGAGGAUUGCCCAAGCCAUAUAAGGAGACCAAUGACCUCAAAUCCCUCCGACGUGGGACAACUCAACA